Molecule: ribosomal RNA, 757 nt
Filed under: Methanosaeta sp. enrichment culture
Lineage: Archaea; Methanobacteriati; Methanobacteriota; Methanomicrobia; Methanotrichales; Methanotrichaceae
Description: bacterial SSU rRNA
Rfam family: Archaeal small subunit ribosomal RNA
Source: RNAcentral
GGACAACCUGCCCUGAGGACUGGAAUAAUCCCGGGGAAACUGGGGGGUAAUUCCAGAUAUGUCAGAACUCCUGGAAUGGGUUCUGGCAGAAAUGCUCCGGCGCCUCAGGAUGGGUCUGCGGCCUAUCAGGGUAGUAGUGGGUGUAACGUACCCACUAGCCUACGACGGGUACGGGUUGUGAGAGCAAGAGCCCGGAGAUGGAUUCUGAGACAUGAAUCCAGGCCCUACGGGGUGCAGCAGGCGCGAAAACUUUACAAUGCGGGCAACCGCGAUAAGGGGACCUCGAGUGCUGGGUUACAAACCUGGCUGUUGGGCUGCCUAAAAAGCAGUCUAUAGCAAGGGCCGGGCAAGACCGGUGCCAGCCGCCGCGGUAACACCGGCGGCUCGAGUGGUAACCGCUGUUAUUGGGUCUAAAGGGUCUGUAGCCUGCCGGCUAAGUCUCUUGGGAAAUCUGGCAUCUCAAGUGUCAGGCUGCCAGGGGAUACUGGUCAGCUUGGGACCGGGAGAGGUGAGAGGUACCUCAGGGGUAGGGGUGAAAUCUUGUAAUCCUUGAGGGACCACCAGUGGCGAAGGCGUCUCACCAGAACGGAUCCGACGGCAAGGGACGAAAGCUAGGGGCACGAACCGGAUUAGAUACCCGGGUAGUCCUAGCCGUAAACGAUACUCGCUAGGUGUCGGCCACGGUGCGACCGUGGUCGGUGCCGUAGGGAAGCCGUGAAGCGAGCCACCUGGGAAGUACGGCCGCAAGGCUGAAACU